Molecule: ribosomal RNA, 253 nt
Filed under: uncultured bacterium
Lineage: Bacteria
Description: partial 16S ribosomal RNA
Rfam family: Bacterial small subunit ribosomal RNA
Source: RNAcentral
UACAGAGGGUGCGAGCGUUAACCGGAAUUACUGGGCGUAAAGCGCGCGUAGGCGGCUUUGCAAGUCGGGUGUGAAAUCCCCAGGCUUAACCUGGGAACUGCAUUCGAGACUGCAUUGCUAGAGUAUGGGAGAGGGAAGUGGAAUUUCCGGUGUAGCGGUGAAAUGCGUAGAUAUCGGGAGGAACACCAGUGGCGAAGGCGACUUCCUGGCCUGUUCUUGACGCUGAGGCGCGAAAGCUAGGGUAGCAAACGGG